GUGUCCAUAUUGUGUGUGUGAAGAAGCAUCGAAGCGCGGCAGCCAUGUUCAGCGUGGCAUUUCGGAAGGCUUGUCAGGGGUGGAGAAGCGGGGCGGGUUGCUGUUCUUUCACCUGACACUAAAGCGCCAUGCCGGAAGCACUGAGUCUGAUACGUCGGAACCAGUCUCCACCGUGUGGUUUGGUCUUGAUUUCCACUGGUACUCUGGGGUCUUGGAUAAGUCUCUGGACCUCGCCUUUGUCAUUUGCGAAGUCGAUAGGUUCCAAUAGAGAUUUUCCCAGAAUCAUUCAACUAAAAAUAGAGAACUUUUUUUUUUUGAGAGGAAGGACGGGGGCGCAGUUAAAGAUGUUAAUGUUAAGUCAUCCCUUCUGUGAUUUCGGGACAUUAUCUUUGCACGCCAUGUGAAGAUGUGCUUGCUUCCUUGUCACCUUCCGCCAUGAUUGUAAGUUUCCUGAGGCCUCCCAGGAAGCAGAAGCCUGUACAGCCCACAGAACCAUGACCUGAUGAAAUCUCUUUUCUUUAUAAAUUACCCAGUCUCAGGACAUUUCAAUUAUCCUCUGAAAUGGAAUAAUCCUCAUUGAAAGCAUGAUACUAGAAGCUCAUGAGGAUUAUUUUCAAAGAAAGCUGUGCAGAAGAGUUGGCUCAGCAGGCUUGGCAUGCUCAAACCAGCUCCUGGGAGAUAACCUACGAGCCCUUGGAAUAGUCUGUGCAAUAGGGGUCCUGGAGCACUCCAUAUCAGUUUGAUCUCUGGCUGGGGAGGAGCUGGAGAUUAAGUAUUUAAGAUCAGCCAUGUAGGUAUUCUGUGCCUACCUGACUGACCCCCAUUAAAGAGUCUGAACACCAAGUCUUGGGUGAGCUUCCCUGGUAAGCAAUACUUCAUGUGUGUUGUCAUGGUAGCAGGGAGAAUUAAGUAUCGCUUCUGUGAGUCCACUGGGAGAAGACAGCUGGAAACUUGUGCCUGCUCUCUCGGGGACUCCACCUCAUGCAUCUUUGGUCUUUGCUGAUUUUAAUUUGUAUCCUUUCAUUAUAAUAAACUGUUACC
Molecule: long non-coding RNA, 1041 nt
Organism: Homo sapiens (human)
Lineage: Eukaryota; Metazoa; Chordata; Mammalia; Primates; Hominidae
Gene: FBXO38-DT
Product: FBXO38 divergent transcript
Source: Ensembl